Long non-coding RNA from Gymnogyps californianus (California condor), 757 nucleotides. RefSeq lists it as uncharacterized. The transcript has 3 exons. The record is from RefSeq and is a predicted model, not a curated record. Lineage: Eukaryota; Metazoa; Chordata; Aves; Accipitriformes; Cathartidae.
GAGAAUAUGCAUAAUUAUCACUCAGAAUUCCCACACCAAAAAAAAACCCCUAAGACCAGCAAACGCCACCAACAAAAAUCCUUCAAAUUGCCUUUCUGGAAAAGAAGAGUUAGAAAUGCCUUCACAGGGCUGAGCAUCUUGGAGACUGAGGCAGCCAGGUCUGAAUGGAGCAGACAUUUCUCCAGCUGAGCCUCCCAAAGGACUCCUCCUGGGUGGUAUCACCAGUAGCCCUGUAAAAAUAGCACUCUCCUUUUCAGAAAGGAUUUGGUAUAAUCACAGAGUGUUUGCAGUUACGAUUAAGGUACGUGUUGUACUUGCUGCCAAUUAGUGUAAUUGAUGUGAAAGUCUGAGUACAUCUUAAGAGGACAGGAUUUCCCCACCUGAAUUGAGCCUUCUUCAAAGACCAGGAGGAACAGCGUGUGUGGAAGAGGGAAGGAGGAAGCAGGAAGCUUGAGUACAACAGAAAGCCCCUGUCUCUAAUGGCACCUGAACCCAGACAGAACUGGAUCUUGGGGUGGAAGUUGAUACCAGGGAGCUAGAAACCAGCUUCAUCAUUUUGAAUUUCUUUUAAACUUUAUUUUUUUAAUCUAAUCUGCUAAUUGACCUCAUCUGUUCCCCUAAUAGGAACAAGCUUUGCAUCAGAAUGUUGACUCAAAUGUUUAAACUUAGUACGAUUUAAAUUGAAUGUAGUGUGGGCCCUGAUUCAGGGCAGUUUCUGUUUCUCCUGAUGUCACUGCAGCGUCACAGAAAGGAGAGG